CGCGGUAAUACGUAGGGUGCGAGCGUUGUCCGGAAUUACUGGGCGUAAAGGGCUCGUAGGUGGUUUGUCGCGUCGUCUGUGAAAUUCUGGGGCUUAACUCCGGGCGUGCAGGCGAUACGGGCAUAACUUGAGUGCUGUAGGGGUAACUGGAAUUCCUGGUGUAGCGGUGAAAUGCGCAGAUAUCAGGAGGAACACCGAUGGCGAAGGCAGGUUACUGGGCAGUUACUGACGCUGAGGAGCGAAAGCAUGGGUAGCGAACAGGAUUAGAUACCCUGGUAGUCCAUGCCGUAAACGGUGGGCGCUAGGUGUGAGGGCCUUUCUACGACUUUCGUGCCGUAGCUAACGCAUUAAGCGCCCCGCCUGGGGAGUACGGC
Molecule: ribosomal RNA, 374 nt
Filed under: uncultured Corynebacteriaceae bacterium
Lineage: Bacteria; Bacillati; Actinomycetota; Actinomycetes; Mycobacteriales; Corynebacteriaceae
Description: bacterial SSU rRNA
Rfam family: Bacterial small subunit ribosomal RNA
Source: RNAcentral